This 254-nucleotide ribosomal RNA is filed under the name uncultured bacterium. RNAcentral describes it as "partial 16S ribosomal RNA". It matches the Rfam family "Bacterial small subunit ribosomal RNA", at positions 524 to 776 of the family's 1533-position model. The record is from RNAcentral.
UACGUAGGGUGCUAGCGUUAUCCGGAUUUAUUGGGCGUAAAGGGCUUGUAGGUGGUUUGUCGCGUCGUCUGUGAAAUUCCGGGGCUUAACUCCGGGCGUGCAGGCGAUACGGGCAUAACUUGAGUACUGUAGGGGAGACUGGAAUUCCUGGUGUAGCGGUGAAAUGCGCAGAUAUCAGGAGGAACACCGGUGGCGAAGGCGGGUCUCUGGGCAGUAACUGACGCUGAGGAACGAAAGCGUGGGUAGCAAACAGG